Molecule: small RNA, 684 nt
Filed under: Pan troglodytes (chimpanzee)
Lineage: Eukaryota; Metazoa; Chordata; Mammalia; Primates; Hominidae
Description: retained intron
Source: RNAcentral
GGACACACAGUGCAGGCGCCCAACCCGCCGCCGCUAGAUCGGUGCCGAUUCCUACCCUGCCCCGACCGCCAGCGCGACCAUGUCCCAUCACUGGGGGUACGGCAAACACAACGGACCUGAGCACUGGCAUAAGGACUUCCCCAUUGCCAAGGGAGAGCGCCAGUCCCCUGUUGACAUCGACACUCAUACAGCCAAGUAUGACCCUUCCCUGAAGCCCCUGUCUGUUUCCUAUGGUCAAGCAACUUCCCUGAGGAUCCUCAACAAUGGUCAUGCUUUCAACGUGGAGUUUGAUGACUCUCAGGACAAAGCAGUGCUCAAGGGAGGACCCCUGGAUGGCACUUACAGAUUGAUUCAGUUUCACUUUCACUGGGGUUCACUUGAUGGACAAGGUUCAGAGCAUACUGUGGAUAAAAAGAAAUAUGCUGCAGAACUUCACUUGGUUCACUGGAACACCAAAUAUGGGGAUUUUGGGAAAGCUGUGCAGCAACCUGAUGGACUGGCCGUUCUAGGUAUUUUUUUGAAGGUUAGUUGAUGACCCAAUUCUUUUUUUUCCCUAUUUUUAAUAAAGAAUGACCAGACAGAAUAUUUGUAACAUACAGGACAUUCUACAAAAGAGCUUAGGAAAUGCCUUUGUCCCUGAAAUGUUUUCAAGUUUAUCUCCUCCUUUCAUAUCUGCUAGUUGCA